Molecule: ribosomal RNA, 436 nt
Filed under: uncultured archaeon
Lineage: Archaea
Description: partial 16S ribosomal RNA
Rfam family: Archaeal small subunit ribosomal RNA (bases 140-436)
Source: RNAcentral
GGCUCAAUGAUGAUCCACUAUUUCGUGCACUGGUAAAGAUGGAGUUGUGAGUAAUACUCACUACUGACAAGUGAAAAUGGUGCAAACUUGUGGCUCGCCAAUUUUCCAUAUUUAAAUUAUACCGACAGAAAACCGAAUAAUUCCGGUUGAUCCUGCCGGCGGCCACUGCUAUCAGGUUUCGGCUAAGCCAUGCGAGUCUAGGGAUCGCAAGAUACCGGCAUACUGCUCAGUAACACGCGGACAAUCUGCCCCCAGGUGAAGAAUACCCUCGGGAAACUGAGGCUAAUACUUCAUAAUCACUAUAUGCUGGAAUGCUUUGGUGAUGAAAGAAUUUCGCCUGAGGAUGAGUCUGCGGCCUAUCAGGUCGUAUGUGGUGUAAAGGACCACAUAGCCUAAGACGGGUACGGGCCUUGAAAGAGGGAGCCCGGAGAUGGAC